Molecule: ribosomal RNA, 116 nt
Filed under: Cordylochernes scorpioides
Lineage: Eukaryota; Metazoa; Arthropoda; Arachnida; Pseudoscorpiones; Chernetidae
Source: RNAcentral
ACGCCUACGGCCACAUUGAAAACAACGGUUCUCGUCCGAUCACCGAAGUUGAGCAAUGUCGGGCCCGGUCAGUAUUUGGGAGGGUGACCACCUGGGAACACCGGAUGCUGUAGGCU